CCUACGGGAGGCUGCAGUGAGGAAUAUUGGUCAAUGGCCGGAAGGCUGAACCAGCCAAGCCGCGUGAAGGACGAAGGUGCCAAGCAUUGUAAACUUCUUUUGUCAAGGGACAAAAUCAGGCGCGAGAGCCUGACCGAGGGUACUUUAAGAAAAAGCAUCGGCUAACUCCGUGCCAGCAGCCGCGGUAAUACGGGGGAUGCGAGCGUUAUCCGGGUUGUUUGGGUGUAAAGGGUGCGUAGGCGGGCUGUUAAUUCAGCGGUAAAAGCCAGGGGUUAAACCCCGGUGAGCCUUUGAAACUGGUUGUCUUGAGAUGUGGAGAGGUAUGCGGAAUGCGGAGUGUAGCGGUGAAAUGCUUAGAUAUUGCGCAGAACUCCGAUUGCGAAGGCAGCAUACCGGAGACGAUCUGACGCUGAGGCACGAAAGCGUGGGUAGCGAACAGGAUUAGAUACCCCAGUAGUC
This 459-nucleotide ribosomal RNA is filed under the name uncultured bacterium. RNAcentral describes it as "partial 16S ribosomal RNA". It matches the Rfam family "Bacterial small subunit ribosomal RNA", at positions 338 to 795 of the family's 1533-position model. The record is from RNAcentral.